CUCCUCCUCUCCCUGCCCAGAGCCAGUGCCCUCAGCAGCUCCUCACACGCCUUCCCCUCACGGCCUUCGCUCUCCUCGUGGCCUCCUCUGGACUCUCUCUGGCACUUUGAGAUCUUCCUUACACUGUGCUGCCCAAACCUGCCCACAGCACUCGAGGUUGGCUGCAAGAGAUGUGAAGGACCAGAGAAAGCUUUGGCAGCCAUUUUGGUGCAGAGGAUUCCUUCAGGGCUGUAAGUAAAAAAAGAAGAAAAUGUUCUCUUCACAUCUAAGGUCCUUUUCCUAAAUGAGGAUUAAUUGUUCCUUGGACAGGUGCUGCAGGAGUCGGAAGUCACAGCAUGUCCUGUCCCAAAAAAGCUCUGCAGACAGGGGAGUUUCAUUCUUUCACAUCUCACUACGGAGAGCCAUGCCUGCAGUGUGUGCUGGGUCACCAGCACCCUUCUUGACCUGGAACCAGAAAAUCAAGGACCAGUGAUUGUCAGAGUGUGGCCAUGUGGCAAAUAUCUGCUCAAAAAUGGCUGUUGUUCUGUGAAGGUGCCUGGCACUGAAAGUCCCAAACGAUAAGAGCAGAGGAUGAGUCCUUGGAACACUGCAGUGAUCUCCAAAGCACAAUCAGUCUGCUGCUGCUUCAGGUUUCUCAGCCCAUCUGCAUCCCAGUGUCCUGGUUCUGGCGAGCACAGGCUGUGGGAGUGACUGAGCCCCUGAUGUUGCAGGCAGGAGAUGCAUGUGGGCAGAGAGGAUGGAAACUCUGCAUUCUUCCAGAAACUUCCUUCUCUCUAAUGGUGCUCAUGAGAUGGGCCAGCUUGGGGAAGAUGCCACACCAGCAGCCCCCACAAGCCUGAGGUACCCUGGGCAGGUCUGCAGAGAGAGCUCCCACAUCCACAACAGUGGAUUCAUCAGGACUCAUCAAUUUCCUUAAUUGAGGUUAAAAGUCUGAUCAGAUGCUGGCUCUACAUGCAAAAUCAGUGAGUGACUGCAGCAGCUCCUGAGAGAACACAGAGCUGCAUCAGGCAGCAGCUGGAACCCACUGCCAGGGAAGCAAACACUGGAGCUGGUUCCCCACUACUCUCUCCAGCCCUUGGCUGGUGGGGGAAAGCAGGGCCCAGGGGCAGAAGGAAAAUGUAAAAACAGCUGGAGGAUGUUGUGCCCACCUUGUGUGUCCUGGGAAUUACCUCACCCUGGUGUGGCACACCCUGCAGUUGUGACAGCCCUGUCAGGUAGGAAUAGAUGAACAGAAGUGUUUUCACCUGUGCACAGUUGAAAACUAAAAGGGAUUUUCAGCAACAUUGACUUUCUCCUUGACUUGGCCAGGAGCUUCAGGAAGAAGCAGUAGAGAAUAACCCUUCAUUUUUAUCUGCUGUACCAUUACAAGCCCAAAAGCCUCCAUGCCCUGGCCUGUCUUUGCCUGAAUUAAGGGCAUCCAGCUCCCCGGGUCACUGCUCUGGAUUGGCAGCCAGACCUGGCAGAUAAGUUUGCAUCUGUCCAUUUUCAGUAGAAUAGUUUAACCUUAUGCUAGACCAUGAUUUUCUAGCUCAUUUUUUAAAUGGAAUACUCUUCAGAAGAUCAGCUGUCCCACACUGGCUGCAGCCCAGUGAUUAAAGGAACACAAAGCUCUACAUCCUGCAGACCCCAAAAUGCCUUUGUUGUCCCAACUCUUCACACUUGUGUCACACACCCUCCUCCCCACUCAGGAAGAUUGCAAAAACAUCUGAGAGAGAAAACACAGCUUGUCCAGAGUAUUCUAAUGGCUUGGUUGCAGCUUAUACUGUGUGCUCCCCAGUAAACUACAAUCUGAGAUUGUUAAACUCUAAACACUGCUGUUGAUAAAAAUAAAAUUAAAAAAAAAGCUGACAACUGUGUGAAGAUGUGGAAGAUGUGAAGAUGCACUCUGGAGAACAGUGUGAAAUGAAAUCACACAAAGGUAGUUUCAGAAAUAAGGACUCUUGAAAGGAAUUAUUGGAGAGUCUGUGGAGUCCAAGACACAUAAAAAGCAUCUAGACUAUAAAUAUUGAAAAAAAUCUUCUGUUAAGAGAAUAAAACAUUUUAAGUGCUGUGCAGGAAAGAAUGGAAAUCUGUGCAGUAUAAUUGUGCAUUUUAUAAUUCUGACUUAGUGACAGAAGGGUAAAAAAGGAAAAUUAGUGUAGUUAUCUUUUCAGGGCACUGGUGAGAUCUAUUCUUUAACUGUCUGUAUUGUCUAUAAUGUUUAUAUGUCUGUAUUGUCUAUAAAUGUCUGUAUGUUUUGGGGCUCUGGUUUGGAAGUCAGGAUGCAAUAUUGAAGUCAAGACAAAACCAUCUGCAGCUCAGCAUUGUGCAGGAAGUGUUUCAGUCUAGGUAACAGGGAAAUUUAACCCACCAUAGGGCAAUUUAACCCAUCAUAGGGAAAUGGAACCAUCUUUAAUUAUCUUUUUCCAGAAGAGAAAACCCAUGGCUUGCCUACUAUGGACCACUUGGUACACAGAUGGUGCUACCUCAGAGAACAAGAUGUGAACAAAUGGAAGGUUUGGCAAUUUUGAGAAAAACAUCUGUAUAAGCUCUGAAUGAACACUAACCUUGCUGCCAUGGAGUGGCAAUAAUCUCAGCAUGCAAAUAAUACAUCCCAGAAUCGUUUAAGUUUCUCAGCCUAAAGCAGAAAUACCAGUCUCCACCUCUGAAGUGCCUCCAGGCUGUUCUGUUGGCCAGAGUGUGAGGACAGCUUGGAGACAGAGAGGAAGAUCUUUCAGUGAGGAUGAAGAUCAUCCUCAGCUGGGACUGAGGUCCUGCUGUGCUGGAAUCCAGACAUACAUGGACAAGUUCCUGCUCUUCUCUGAGCCUCCUGCUGUUUACAGAAAGGAUCAUUAUCUGUGUCUUCCAGAGGAAUCGAGAGAUUUGCUGUCAGUCUCAGAUGGGCUUGAGCCAGAAACUCAGUAUAAAGGUCUGAAAGUUGAAGUUCAAUUGUCUAAAGCCCAGAACCAUCCAGAACAGGCUGUGGGUGGAUCACAGGACCUGUGACAGAGCUGGGCUGGUGUGAAAUGGCAGCUGAGCAAUGUCUCGGCUGCCUCUUGUGCAGCUGAGUCCCAACCUUGCAUUGUGCCCUUUAUUUUCUCCUCAACAGACGGAGAUUUAAAGAGAUGCUUUCAAACCUGAUCUCAUGUGUCAGCAGGUUACAGCUACAACCCCCGUUCCUUGAGAACUAAUCCAGUGGUUCUGCACCUCCACUAACCACAGCAGCAAGCUGCAGGAAUUCACACACAAACCAGAAGCAAUUUCUAUUGCCUGAACCACUUCUGAGCACACAAGAGACAAGACAGAAGAAAUGAGCAGCCAUUUAAAGCAUGUGCUGCUAAGGAUCAUGAGCUCUACCCAUGCAGCAACUCGUAAGGAUAUAGUAUAAAUACUCUUAAUAAUAACUCAUAAGGAUAUAGUAUAAAUAUAUAUACUUGAACAAUAACAUUGGAUAUUUCCUUCCCCUGAAUGCCACACAAAAAGUAAAGUUCAUGAAGAGUCUUUCAUUAGAAGCCAUACAAAAAUGCAUUGCUGCUGUCUCAUUAUAUGUUUAGAAGGAUUUAUUCAGAAGGAAAGAGAAAUAAAACCUUUUUCCCCACAGCCAAAAGGAAAACCCAUACAGUUUCCUGUAUGAGUGGAAAGCAAACACUGAAGGAAUAAAAAUGGAUUUACAGGAACUACCAUUGCAUGUGCCUAUGCACACUGACAAGGCAUAAAGAGCUAUGGGGUUGCUGAAUCUGAGGUCACUUUUGUUGAUAUCUGUUGAAAAUCACUGUUACAUAACUCAUAUCCCAGCACAGAAAAAUGUCAGAGAGCAGCAGCAAAAAUACAGCUUGGAAGGAUUUGUCUUCACAGAUGGCCUAAAUUGUACCACAGAGCACAAAAUGUUUUUUCUCCUACAGCAUUUUUGAGGUUGUCUAUCCUAACUCCCAGCUAUAGAACAAGGAGAUGGAUCCUGAAACGAUUUUUAGUGCAAAGUCAGCAAAUACAAAACUAGUGAAUGAGCCUUGACUGAACAUGACUUUCUCUGGGUGCCAAACCAGACUUUAUGCCAGGAUCUACCAUUUCUGAUGUGGCAUUGCAGCUAUCACAGGAAACAAACAAACACUGGAGGAGUGGAUGUAUUGGUCAGCGUUCGUCAGGGUGAGCUGAUAGCUUUUUACUGAGACAGAUCUGCUGAUUCAGGUUAGGUACAUUAGUUUUGUUUUGGAAAACAUGGGCCUGCAUUGCAGCCACAUGAAGCCAGCAAAGUCUGAGGAAUUACAAGGCUUUUUUUGAGGACACCACACAUACUGAAAAGUUCCUUGCAAAAUCUGUGCCACCCUCUAUGGCUCUCUACAGACUCAUUCUGUUUUCCUCAUGGACCUUUCUUUUGCUCACAGGUCACCUUCAGGAUUGACAUUUACUACCCCUGCAUUGAUUUUAUCCAUGAAGGAGUAGGGCUGCCUUCAGCAGCUGCUCUCUCUCCACUUCCUCAGUAGAUUCCUUGGUAUGUUCACAUUCUAAUAUGAUGCAUUAUGUUGACUUUGAUUGUCUACUGGCCAGAAGUAGUUUUAUUCACAAUCCCGCGACUGUGACAACUCUUACCAGCUUAGAAAAAGAAGAGCAGAAUUUACCUUUUCAGUAACAUAAAAAUUUCUCUAGCUUUUGUUUGUGGUUCCUCUUGGAAAGUGGGGGCCGUGAAAGAAAGUUAGAGCCAGUCCAUAGUCUACAACAAAAAUUAACUUUAAUGGGGAAAAUAAUGUUGCUUACAAACCAAAGAAACUGCACCGCAUGGGAAAUAGAGCAUGAAAAGGAUUUGUGCUGUGAUGUCAAGAUUAGAGAGAAUAAGCAACAUGAAUUAGCAAGUGGAAUGCAAAUAUUGUACAUUCAAGUGUAACUUUAGUGUAAUAUCAGAGAUGUGGGUUCAUGAGGAAUUAGAGCAUCUCUAAAAUAGUAUUCAAAGUGCUGCUGUCUGCAGAAUGGAGUCCAUGCAUGUGGCUUAGGUGCCCCCAGCCUUCAUUGAGCUGGAGCUGAUGCUUUCUCCUCACUCCUUUCAUCAGUAUUAAUUGCACGAAAUUAGAGAUUUUGUUUAUGCAGAUACACUGCAUUUAGGUCAGUGACUUGCUUACAAGAACAUGUGGAGGUGAACAUGUCUUGGCUCUGGACAGAGACAGCAGCAGCAAAGCAAUGAUAAAGCCCAGGAGAGGUGAGGGCUGAGCAGCUCCUCUGGGAGAGGGGAGUGGGCACCAGCUUGGUUGUGCCAGGUGGGGCAGUGUGAAAAACAAGGUUCACUCUCCUGUAAAAACGUAGUAAGUUAAAAAAGGUUUAAAAAUGUAUGUUUAAAAAAUAAGUUUAAAAAAGUUUAAUAGAAGACGAAGACAAUAAAGCAAAGAUUUACAGCCGGAUGCCUCCUGGCAUUCCACCAAGAGUACACCUUCUAUUUUGGAAACACCUUUAUAUACCAUUUCUGUACCAUUUCGAUGGCAUCAGCCUGUUACAUGUACAUAAACAAUUAUGCAUAUUAAACUAGUUUACAUGUUCCAAUAAUUGUUUAGCAUAUUUCCUCCUUAGAUCUGCUUUUUUGGAGCAUGU
Long non-coding RNA from Passer domesticus (house sparrow), 5553 nucleotides. RefSeq lists it as uncharacterized. The record is from RefSeq and is a predicted model, not a curated record. The transcript has 9 exons. NCBI's taxonomy places the organism in Eukaryota, Metazoa, Chordata, Aves, Passeriformes, Passeridae.